CAUGUAUAAUGGGGGUCUGUAUGUGUGUACCUGGAUACAAAGGAGAAAUAUGUGAAGAAGGUUUGUUUCUAUUAUAUUCUUUUACUGUUUUGAAGUCCUAUUUCUCAGUUUACUUAAUAAAGUCUAGCAAAAUAAACUGAUGCAUUUCCUGAACAUAGCGAAUGAGACAGAAUCUAAUAAAAAGUGUUCUUUUGGUAGUAUGGACCCUGAUUGUAUAGGACUUUAGGACAGGUUUGUUCACUAAAGUGAGAAUUCCAAGUGAAUUUAAGAUUUAUUUAUUUAUUCCUUUUUUCCAAGGUUAGUUAGAGAUAUAGAAAUCAGAAAUAGGAAAGCAUUUGAAUAACAUUGGUAUGGUACAUAAAUUCGAGAAGGUAUAUCCCUCAAAUAGCUUCCACUUUGCAAUAUGUACAUAAUGUUUUUUGGGUCACAGUGUAAAUGUAUGCUGUUCUCUGGGGCCCACUGCGCUCCCUUUGGAAGAUAGCUGAAGUAUAGCAGUAUUACAAUCCCAUAGUAGUGCUAAGGUGCCUGGUCAUCUCAUUCCAGGGUUUACCUUGUUAUUUCCCCAUGUAUGCUUCUUUCAUUUACUGCGAUUCCCAGAGCUGUGAAUUUAAAAAUUAAUGUAAAAAUAGCCAAACUUGAAAAAUUAUCUAACCCAGCUAUGGUUCAUGUUUAGGUACUUUGUCCUUAAAAUUCACAUUCACUUGUUAUUCUCACUUCAGUAAAUAAUCCAGUGUCAUCAAACCAAUCCUAAUAUGAGUUCUAAUGGUAUUGAAACAGUAUGAUUGGACAAUAAACAACAUAGAAUGACACAGGGCAGUAUGCUUGUUCAUCUAAAAUAAGGAUGUUAAAAAAACAGAAAUAUACAUCCAUACCUUUAGUAUAUGACAGGAUCCUUCAGCCAUAUACAUUCACUUUUGAUUGGAUAGUGUUUAGAAACCAACAGUUAAUCCCCAUGAUCUUGCAAAAAGAAAGAAAGGUUGAAGAGGACAAACCACCGCCAACCUGUAGAGUGGAACAGAACAUUUUCUGCCCCAUGCUAUAGGUUGGUGAUGAUUUGUCCUCCUCAACCUUUCUUUUUGCAUGGUUUGAGGUGGGUGAGAGAGGUAACCAUUAGAGUGUAGUAGUAGAGGUGGUUUUAAGUAUUGUAAUACACAUAACUAAGUGCCUUCCUAACACACAGGAAAUUAUGUGAUUGUAUAGUAUUUUAGUCCCCAUGACCUUCCCUGCUCCACUCCCUGCACAGAAGCAGGGAAGACCAUAGAGGCUAAACAGCUUUCAAACACUGUCUGUCUCAUUGUGCAUGCAUAUGGUUGAAUGAUCCUGUCAUAUAAUAAAGGUAGAAAUUAGUUCUAAUUUCUUUUACAUAUACUUCGAUUUAAAAAAAAUAUAUAUUUUCUUUCAAAACUUGAUGAAAGCAUUUUUAUAUUAAAUAAUUAUUUUGAUAGGACAGUUGUCCUUUAAGUUAUGUUGGUUACCACCAGAUUGUUCAUAUGUUAUACAAAGAGGGCUGCAUUAAUUAUGGUGCUUAACUACCCCUUCAAGAAUUGUGUCAUCCAAACCACAUUGUUUUUUGUAAGUUAAAAUGCAGUGGUUAGUGGUGUCAAAUGAAAUGGAAAUAUCUAUAAAAUGUAAAAUGAAGUCAUCUGGCCAUCAUAUAACCAUUGACAAAACAAACCAUGUUUGUUCCUUUGCCGUGAUUUUUAACUGAAACAUGUCUGAAAACCACCAAAUCUUAUUUAAUGAAACUAAGUACCAGCUGAAUUGGCACACAUCUUCAGUGACUCUCCUACAAAUCUGUGUCUAGCACAUCUAAUCUACUAGAUUGUAAUUCUUGGGGGUUUUUUUUUUUCUAGAAAGGAGAGCUAAGAUUGCUGAACAUUCAGUAGAGAGAGUGAUCAACUAACACUGAAUAAAUACUCUAUUCCUAAUGCUAUAUUGUUAUACUAGCUAGUUAGAGUCAGGGUACCCCGGAAUAAUAAAAUAAAGAAUUUGUUUGCAUUGUAGAGACAGUCUUUUUGCCCCAGAAUUCAGGUGCCUAGACUGUCCUUUUGUGGUUUCACAAAAUAUUUAAUUUUGAUUGUCCAAGGAUUAAUCCCUGCUGCCAGAUAAAGAAGUUCUUAAAACAUUUCUAAUAUAUUGGUGUAAACAAGAUAUAUAGAAUUUCUCACACACUCAUAAGUAGUGUUCACAUGCAGUGCUGUGUGAAUUACAAUUCAACAAGUGAUUGUGAUAGAAAGUGAAAUAACUUCCCUUAGCAAUAUAGGAUAUGCCCGAAGAUUUCCUCCUAUCUUCAAUUCAACAUGCAUAUGAUAUAGGGCUAUUCCAAGCUAGGGAAAAAGAAAAUAUAUGGCAUAGUGCAAUACUGUAUAUACUGUGAUUGGGUAUAUGAGUAAGUGACAAAUGCUCACUCACACUUUAACAUCCCAAGAAAUGCUUUCAGAAAUAUGCUGUGUCUUCUUUUGCUUCAGAGUGCAAAAAAAUGAUUGAAUGACUGUUUGAGUAAAGAGUAAAAAAAGCAUUUAUUACUUACAUCAAAGUAAAUAAAAGCAGGUAAAUCAGUCCAACGCGUUUCUUCCCUGUUAGGGACUUCCUCAGGGACAAUCUUUCACAAGGAUGAUGAAUAAAAAUACAUAUAAACCUAGUUACAAACAUCUCCGAAUAUAUACCACCCCCAAUCAGUCCCAAUAGUGGUUCUGCAGGUGAUUCCAUUUCUCUUCAGCUGUUUUCAAUUCAAAUUUGAGUUACUUCCGGGUUUCGUGUAUCCUGUGCGGUCACAUGAUGUGCGUGAUGACGUCAUGCGUUCCAGCUAUGCGUUCCACCUUCGUUUUGGCUGGCACUCAUAAUUACAAACUGAGAUGUUGAAAAAAAGUCCCAAAAAAGACUGUUUCUAAGGAACAGGUUCAAGACUUGGGUUAUGUUUGUUGCUUAUAUCAUUCAGGUUCUGUUGGUUAUGUUUGUUGCUUAUAUCAUUCAGGUUCUGUUGAUUAUGUUUGUUGCUUAAAUCAUUUAGGUUCUGUUAGUGGAAUGCAAGUACAUUUUUCAAAUGCAGAUAAGUCACACACUAAUAGUAGAUUACAGGAAAAGAUAAAGCUUAAUGUUACAAAUUAAAAAUACUUCCUUCAGUAUGCGCAAGAUAUUCGAGGUAUAAGUAGGUAGUAAAACAAUUGGUGUGGUAAUUUGAGAUGUGUAUAUACAGUAUGUAUAUAUGAGUAUAUUAAUAAUAAAGACAAUUCAUUGUAUUUGGAACAGAAUUUUCAGAUUAUUUUGACUGAAAACCUAUUUUUCAACGAAAACCUCAUUCUCCAGGAUAAAACAACCCUCUCUUCAAAUUUCUACCUUCUGUUAUCUUUUAUAACUGAGCUUAUCCAGGUAUACAGUAUGUUUAGAUGAAGCCAGAUAUAUGAACACAUAUCUAAUGUAUAUAAUAAGACAUUUUACAUUGGCCAAAGGACGAGAGAGGUAGUUAUCAGUAGCAUGCUAACAGUGAAUUUGAAAUCUAAAUUGAUUAUAACCACUCAUACUAUAGGUGAUCUUUUACAAGAUAAUUAGAAUUGCAUUUAACAUCAUAAAAUUGUAUUUCUUGGAAGUAAUAUUUAUAGCAGUAUUGGAUUUUAUUUCUUCUUUAGAGAACUGCCUUGAUCCAAUGUGUUCUGAUCAUGGAGUAUGUGUUCAAGGAGAGUGCCAUUGUACUGCUGGUUGGGGAGGAGUGAACUGUGAAAACGCACUGGCACUUUGCCAGGAACAGUGUUCCGGCCAUGGGACCUUCCUCCUAGAAAGUGGUGUAUGCAGCUGUGAGCCACUCUGGACUGGGG
Non-coding RNA from Pelobates cultripes (western spadefoot toad), 3812 nucleotides. The record is from the annotation of a GenBank genome assembly. Lineage: Eukaryota; Metazoa; Chordata; Amphibia; Anura; Pelobatidae.